UCGAUAUGCUCCCGCCAAGUAUCGAUACUUUUAUUUAACAUAUUGGCCAUACAAUGGAGUAUGGAUGCUGUAAACUCCUCAGUGUUUGUUGAGCAAUUCCUUGGCGGUCCACUAGGGGCGCUCGGGAGUGGCGGUGAAGGUAAAGUGCCCACAAGUCGUCUAGAGAAGAAGAGAGAAGGCUCCAAGUGGGUUGAAAAAAUAAAAAAGCUUCGUGAGAAUGGUGGAGGAAAAAAUGAGAAAAUAUUGCUACAAAUCAAACAUGGGGACACACUUCAGAUUUUACACCAACCAGAAAGGAAGUAAGGUGAACAAGGACUUUGCUGUAUGCAAGAACUGUCUAACAAAAAUAAGGUCCACUGGGAGCUGGUGACGAGUUGCACACCGGAUUUCCCCAAGAGAGUCUGGCUGCAGCCUCUCGAUUUCUUCACUGCUUUGCUCUCAUCACUUGAGGUGAGGAAGAAUGUGACUGACCAAGUCUGACAUCUCAAAUGCUGAAGCAGAUAGUGGAAAUGCUCAAACCAACGCUUUUGGCAACAAAGGUCAUAUACGAAGAAAAGACCCACCAAUUUUAUCAUUGCCCCUCUCCAAGCUCAACUGCUGACUGACACCUACAGCACUGAUGUUUUUUUUUUUUUAAGAUUUAAAACUUAAAGGAAAUUAAGGGUGCCAUUCAUCAUAAUCUCUCCAAGAGAUAUCAGUGGUUGUGGUUUGUUUCCUCUCUAUGUGUAGGUGCACAAUUUGCAGUAGAUUGAUAUUUUACAGCAGUGCUGCACAGAAAAGGUGUCACUGUUUAAUAAAUGACUUAAACAGUA
Long non-coding RNA from Corythoichthys intestinalis (scribbled pipefish), 812 nucleotides. RefSeq lists it as uncharacterized. Lineage: Eukaryota; Metazoa; Chordata; Actinopteri; Syngnathiformes; Syngnathidae. The record is from RefSeq and is a predicted model, not a curated record. The transcript is spliced from 2 exons.